CCUACGGGUGGCAGCAGUGGGGAAUAUUGCACAAUGGGGGAAAGCCUGAUGCAGCGACGCCGCGUGAGGGAAGAAGGAUUUCGGGAUGUAAAGCUCUAUCAGCAGGGGAGAAAAUGAAGGUACCUGAGUAAGAAGCCACGGCGAACUACGUGCCAGCAGCCGCGGUAACACGUAGGGGGCAAGCGUUAUCCGGAUUUACUGGGUGUAAAGGGAGCGUAGACGGUGAUGCAAGUCAGAAGUGAAAGCUCGGGGCUCAACGCCGGUAUUGCUGUUGAAACUGGUGGACUGGAGUGCAGGUGAGGUAAGCGGAAUGCGUGGUGUAGCGGUGAAAUGCGUAGAUAUCAGGAGGAACACCAGUGGCGAAGGCAGCUUACUGGACUGUAACUGACGUUGAGGCUCGAAAGCGUGGGGAGCAAACAGGAUUAGAUACCCUUGUAGUC
This 440-nucleotide ribosomal RNA is filed under the name uncultured bacterium. RNAcentral describes it as "partial 16S ribosomal RNA". It matches the Rfam family "Bacterial small subunit ribosomal RNA", at positions 338 to 795 of the family's 1533-position model. The record is from RNAcentral.